RNAcentral lists this transfer RNA (72 nucleotides) under Minervarya manoharani. RNAcentral's name for it is "tRNA-Leu". The record is from RNAcentral. Lineage: Eukaryota; Metazoa; Chordata; Amphibia; Anura; Dicroglossidae.
GUCAAUGAAGCAAAACUGGAUCUGCAAAAGGUCUAAGCCCUUUUUUAGGGGGUUCAAGUCCCCUCGUUGACU